RNAcentral lists this non-coding RNA (30 nucleotides) under Rattus norvegicus (Norway rat). The record is from RNAcentral. Lineage: Eukaryota; Metazoa; Chordata; Mammalia; Rodentia; Muridae.
UAGGAAUCUGUAUGCUUUCAAACGGGCUAA